This 1011-nucleotide ribosomal RNA is filed under the name Aspergillus cejpii. RNAcentral's name for it is "SSU rRNA". It matches the Rfam family "Eukaryotic small subunit ribosomal RNA", at positions 85 to 1106 of the family's 1831-position model. Lineage: Eukaryota; Fungi; Ascomycota; Eurotiomycetes; Eurotiales; Aspergillaceae. The record is from RNAcentral.
AACUGCGAAUGGCUCAUUAAAUCAGUUAUCGUUUAUUUGAUAGUACCUUACUACAUGGAUACCUGUGGUAAUUCUAGAGCUAAUACAUGCUAAAAACCUCGACUUCGGAAGGGGUGUAUUUAUUAGAUAAAAAACCAAUGCCCUUCGGGGCUCCUUGGUGAAUCAUAAUAACUUAACGAAUCGCAUGGCCUUGCGCCGGCGAUGGUUCAUUCAAAUUUCUGCCCUAUCAACUUUCGAUGGUAGGAUAGUGGCCUACCAUGGUGGCAACGGGUAACGGGGAAUUAGGGUUCGAUUCCGGAGAGGGAGCCUGAGAAACGGCUACCACAUCCAAGGAAGGCAGCAGGCGCGCAAAUUACCCAAUCCCGACACGGGGAGGUAGUGACAAUAAAUACUGAUACGGGGCUCUUUUGGGUCUCGUAAUUGGAAUGAGUACAAUUUAAAUCCCUUAACGAGGAACAAUUGGAGGGCAAGUCUGGUGCCAGCAGCCGCGGUAAUUCCAGCUCCAAUAGCGUAUAUUAAAGUUGUUGCAGUUAAAAAGCUCGUAGUUGAACCUUGGGUCUGGCUGGCCGGUCCGCCUCACCGCGAGUACUGGUCCGGCUGGACCUUUCCUUCUGGGGAACCCCAUGGCCUUCACUGGCUGUGGGGGGAACCAGGACUUUUACUGUGAAAAAAUUAGAGUGUUCAAAGCAGGCCUUUGCUCGAAUACAUUAGCAUGGAAUAAUAGAAUAGGACGUGCGGUUCUAUUUUGUUGGUUUCUAGGACCGCCGUAAUGAUUAAUAGGGAUAGUCGGGGGCGUCAGUAUUCAGCUGUCAGAGGUGAAAUUCUUGGAUUUGCUGAAGACUAACUACUGCGAAAGCAUUCGCCAAGGAUGUUUUCAUUAAUCAGGGAACGAAAGUUAGGGGAUCGAAGACGAUCAGAUACCGUCGUAGUCUUAACCAUAAACUAUGCCGACUAGGGAUCGGGCGGUGUUCUAUGAUGACCCGCUCGGCACCUUACGAGAAAUCAAAGUUU